CACCGGCGGCUCGAGUGGUGGCCACUUUUAUUGGGUCUAAAACGUCCGUAGCCGGCUUGGCAAGUCCCCUGGGAAAUCUGGCGGCUUAACCGUCAGGCGUCCAGAGGAUACUGCCAGGCUUGGGACCGGGAGAGGUGAGAGGUACCUCAGGGGUAAGGGUGAAAUCUUGUGAUCCCUGAGGGACCACCAGUGGCGAAGGCGACUACCUGGACUGAUACUGACACUGAGGUGCGAAAGCGUGGGGAGCAAACAGG
This 254-nucleotide ribosomal RNA is filed under the name uncultured microorganism. RNAcentral describes it as "partial 16S ribosomal RNA". It matches the Rfam family "Archaeal small subunit ribosomal RNA", at positions 474 to 727 of the family's 1478-position model. The record is from RNAcentral.